Molecule: ribosomal RNA, 2378 nt
Filed under: Providencia stuartii
Lineage: Bacteria; Pseudomonadati; Pseudomonadota; Gammaproteobacteria; Enterobacterales; Morganellaceae
Description: partial 23S ribosomal RNA
Rfam family: Bacterial large subunit ribosomal RNA
Source: RNAcentral
GGGUGACUGCGUACCUUUUGUAUAAUGGGUCAGCGACUUAUAUUCUGUAGCAAGGUUAACCGAAUAGGGGAGCCGUAGGGAAACCGAGUCUUAACUGGGCGAAUGAGUUGCAGGGUAUAGACCCGAAACCCGGUGAUCUAGCCAUGGGCAGGUUGAAGGUUGGGUAACACUAACUGGAGGACCGAACCGACUAAUGUUGAAAAAUUAGCGGAUGACUUGUGGCUGGGGGUGAAAGGCCAAUCAAACCGGGAGAUAGCUGGUUCUCCCCGAAAGCUAUUUAGGUAGCGCCUCGUGAACUCAUCUUCGGGGGUAGAGCACUGUUUCGGCUAGGGGGUCAUCCCGACUUACCAACCCGAUGCAAACUACGAAUACCGAAGAAUGUUAUCACGGGAGACACACGGCGGGUGCUAACGUUCGUCGUGAAGAGGGAAACAACCCAGACCGCCAGCUAAGGUCCCAAAGUCAUGGUUAAGUGGGAAACGAAGUGGGAAGGCUCAGACAGCCAGGAUGUUGGCUUAGAAGCAGCCAUCAUUUAAAGAAAGCGUAAUAGCUCACUGGUCGAGUCGGCCUGCGCGGAAGAUGUAACGGGGCUAAACCAUGCACCGAAGCUGCGGCAGCGACAUGUAAAUGUUGUUGGGUAGGGGAGCGUUCUGUAAGCCUGUGAAGGUGUGCUGCGAGGCAUGCUGGAGGUAUCAGAAGUGCGAAUGCUGACAUAAGUAACGAUAAUGCGGGUGAAAAACCCGCACGCCGGAAGACCAAGGGUUCCUGUCCAACGUUAAUCGGGGCAGGGUGAGUCGACCCCUAAGGCGAGGCAGAAAUGCGUAGUCGAUGGGAAACAGGUUAAUAUUCCUGUACUGGUGAUAAUUGCGAUGGGGGGACGGAGAAGGCUAGGCUGGCCGGGCGACGGUUGUCCCGGUUUAAGGAUGUAGGUGGGUGAAUUAGGCAAAUCCGGUUCGCUAUACACUGAGGUCUGAUGACGAGUCACUACGGUGGCGAAGUAGCUCAUGCCCCGCUUCCAGGAAAAGCCUCUAAGCUCUAGAUUAUCAUUAAUCGUACCCCAAACCGACACAGGUGGUCAGGUAGAGAAUACUCAGGCGCUUGAGAGAACUCGGGUGAAGGAACUAGGCAAAAUGGUGCCGUAACUUCGGGAGAAGGCACGCUGGCACUAGGUGAAGUGGUUUACCCAUGGAGCUGAAGCCAGUCGCAGAUACCAGCUGGCUGCAACUGUUUAUUAAAAACACAGCACUGUGCAAACACGAAAGUGGACGUAUACGGUGUGACGCCUGCCCGGUGCUGGAAGGUUAAUUGAUGGGGUUAUCCGUAAGGAGAAGCUCUUGAUCGAAGCCCCAGUAAACGGCGGCCGUAACUAUAACGGUCCUAAGGUAGCGAAAUUCCUUGUCGGGUAAGUUCCGACCUGCACGAAUGGCGUAAUGAUGGCCAGGCUGUCUCCACCCGAGACUCAGUGAAAUUGAACUCGCUGUGAAGAUGCAGUGUACCCGCGGCAAGACGGAAAGACCCCGUGAACCUUUACUAUAGCUUGACACUGAACAUUGAGCCUUGAUGUGUAGGAUAGGUGGGAGGCUUUGAAGUGUGGACGCCAGUCUGCAUGGAGCCAACCUUGAAAUACCACCCUUUAAUGUUUGAUGUUCUAACGUUGCCCCAUAAUCUGGGGUGCGGACAGUGUCUGGUGGGUAGUUUGACUGGGGCGGUCUCCUCCCAAAGCGUAACGGAGGAGCACGAAGGUUGGCUAAGCAUGGUCGGACAUCAUGCGGUUAGUGCAAAGGCAUAAGCCAGCUUGACUGCGAGAGUGACGGCUCGAGCAGGUACGAAAGUAGGUCUUAGUGAUCCGGUGGUUCUGAAUGGAAGGGCCAUCGCUCAACGGAUAAAAGGUACUCCGGGGAUAACAGGCUGAUACCGCCCAAGAGUUCAUAUCGACGGCGGUGUUUGGCACCUCGAUGUCGGCUCAUCACAUCCUGGGGCUGAAGUAGGUCCCAAGGGUAUGGCUGUUCGCCAUUUAAAGUGGUACGCGAGCUGGGUUUAGAACGUCGUGAGACAGUUCGGUCCCUAUCUGCCGUGGGCGUUGGAAGAUUGAAAGGGGCUGCUCCUAGUACGAGAGGACCGGAGUGGACGCACCGCUGGUGUUCGGGUUGUCAUGCCAAUGGCACUGCCCGGUAGCUAAGUGCGGAAGAGAUAACCGCUGAAAGCAUCUAAGCGGGAAACUUGCCUUGAGAUGAGUCUUCCCUGACUCUUUAAGGGUCCUAAAGGAACGUUUAAGACGAAGACGUUGAUAGGCUGGGUGUGUAAGCGUAGCGAUACGUUGAGCUAACCAGUACUAAUGAACCGUGAGGCUUAACCUGACAACACCGAAGGUGUUUUAG